This 504-nucleotide ribosomal RNA is filed under the name uncultured bacterium. Its description in RNAcentral is "partial 16S ribosomal RNA". It matches the Rfam family "Bacterial small subunit ribosomal RNA", at positions 28 to 523 of the family's 1533-position model. The record is from RNAcentral.
GAUGAACGCUAGCGGCAGGCUUAACACAUGCAAGUCGAGGGGCAGCAUAGAUUGUAGCAAUACAAUUGGUGGCGACCGGCGCACGGGUGCGUAACGCGUAUGCAACCUACCCGUCACAGGGGGAUAAUCCGGAGAAAUCUGGUCUAAUACCCCAUAACAUUUGGAUCGGCAUCGGUUCAUGUUGAAAUUUUCGGAGGUGACGGAUGGGCAUGCGUAGCAUUAGCUUGUUGGUGAGGUAACGGCUCACCAAGGCGACGAUGCUUAGGGGGACUGAGAGGUUUUCCCCCCACACUGGUACUGAGACACGGACCAGACUCCUACGGGGGGCAGCAGUGAGGAAUAUUGGUCAAUGGGCGCAAGCCUGAACCAGCCAUGCCGCGUGCAGGAUGACGGCUCUAUGAGUUGUAAACUGCUUUUGUACGAGGGUAAAGUGGGUUACGUGUAACCUUUUGAAAGUAUCGUACGAAUAAGGAUCGGCUAACUCCGUGCCAGCCGCCGCGGUAA